CCAAAACCUGGGUCAUAGAACUGCAGAUUUCCCCCCAAGUCUGUCACUCUUGACGUGGGGGCCGUGGGGGUAGGGCCUGCCCGGCCGGGCCUAGGUUGAAUGAAUGAGUCAGCACGCGGCUGAGUAGACAGGAUCCCUCUCCCCUCUCCGGCCGAGCCCUCGGUUACACAAUCCCUCACCUUCCCCUCCAAUCCCAGGCUGAACAUUCUCCAAUUCAGAGCCCAAAGCAGACGGCUGCCCCAGCCACAGCGGCCCUCAGGCCUCCCAGCCGGCCUUCUCCAGGCGUGGCCCCUGUCACUUACACGGCUCAUCCACCUGCUGCUGAGACAAAAGCAUUUUGCAACAGAGGCUGGAGUGGAAUUGCUGCAGACAGCAGAGAGAGCAACUGGCUCACGUAAGUCGGGCGUUGGGGAAGAAGGAAGUGGGCUGAGAAGGCAGCAGUGCUGUGUGGUUGCAGAUCCGACCUGGAUGUCCGUGUAGCAGCGCAUGUCUGAGCGCCUUUGGCUGUGGAGAGGCAUCGUUUCAGUACUUCUCCCAACCGACACAAGCCACAUGCUAUGCGGCAUGGGCUGUCUCAGGUUCCCCCACCAAGAAGAGGAAUCCGUGUCUGCAUCCCUUGCCUCUGGACCCCAAGAUGCACUGGAAGCGACAGUGUGUAAGCUCCCCUGGGCUGAAAGAGGCCAACAGACUUCAGUCCUCUCCCCCCUCUCUGCUGAAGCAUGAAAGCAGCACAAAAGAGAGAAGUCGUCUCAGCCCGAGUUCUGAGGCCAGUCCAGAUCAGCCAAACCUGCCCCAGAUCAGCCACUGCCCGCAGCCCAAAGGGGUAUCCAAGUAGCUGUUGUCUGAAAACAUUGCACUAUUGGCAUGUUUGUUAU
Molecule: long non-coding RNA, 875 nt
Organism: Fukomys damarensis (Damara mole-rat)
Lineage: Eukaryota; Metazoa; Chordata; Mammalia; Rodentia; Bathyergidae
Exons: 3
Source: RefSeq, a predicted model, not a curated record